UGGGGAAUAUUGCACAAUGGGGGAAACCCUGAUGCAGCGACGCCGCGUGAGUGAAGAAGUAUUUCGGUAUGUAAAGCUCUAUCAGCAGGGAAGAAAUUGACGGUACCUGACUAAGAAGCCCCGGCUAACUACGUGCCAGCAGCCGCGGUAAUACGUAGGGGGCAAGCGUUAUCCGGAUUUACUGGGUGUAAAGGGAGCGUAGGUGGCAAAUCAAGUCAGAUGUGAAAGCCCGGGGCUCAACCCCGGGAUUGCAUUUGAAACUGGUUUGCUAGAGUGCAGGAGAGGUAAGUGGAAUUCCUAGUGUAGCGGUGAAAUGCGUAGAUAUUAGGAGGAACACCAGUGGCGAAGGCGGCUUACUGGACUGUAACUGACACUGAGGCUCGAAAGCGUGGGGAGCAAACAGG
This 404-nucleotide ribosomal RNA is filed under the name uncultured prokaryote. Its description in RNAcentral is "bacterial SSU rRNA". It matches the Rfam family "Bacterial small subunit ribosomal RNA", at positions 355 to 776 of the family's 1533-position model. RNAcentral also lists the same sequence under 1 other name. The record is from RNAcentral.